GAAGCACACUAAAAGUUUCAGGAUAGCACUAUUCUGAAGCAGCAGAAAGAAGUAGCAUUGGCAGAAUGGGCUCCUUUGACCACAAACUGACCUCUCAUCACUGAAUUUACACAAACUCUUCUUGAACCUUUUGAUAUUUCCCUCUUGAACAACUUCCUGGAUGAAAGAAUCCCAUCUACUUUAUACCCACAAGGAGAAGAUUUGGCUGGCUCUAGGUAUCAGUGUCCACUGGAUUUCCUGGGAGCCACAUCUACUGCAGAACAACAAGAGCAUUGACAAAGCCUCUGCC
Tachyglossus aculeatus (Australian echidna) is the source of this 289-nucleotide long non-coding RNA. RefSeq lists it as uncharacterized. The record is from RefSeq and is a predicted model, not a curated record. The transcript is spliced from 3 exons. NCBI's taxonomy places the organism in Eukaryota, Metazoa, Chordata, Mammalia, Monotremata, Tachyglossidae.